Molecule: ribosomal RNA, 225 nt
Filed under: uncultured bacterium
Lineage: Bacteria
Description: partial 16S ribosomal RNA
Rfam family: Bacterial small subunit ribosomal RNA
Source: RNAcentral
CGUGGGUAACCUGCCCAUCAGGGGGGGAUAACAUCCGGAAACGGAUGCUAAAACCGCAUAGGUCUUCGAGCCGCAUGGCUUGAAGAGGAAAAGAGGCGCAAGCUUCUGCUGAUGGAUGGACCCGCGGUGCAUUAGCUAGUUGGUGAGGUAACGGCUCACCAAGGCCGUGAUGCAUAGCCGACCUGAGAGGGUGAUCGGCCACAUUGGGACUGAGACACGGCCCAA